GGAUUCUUUGCUAGAAAAGUCUCCGUGUCAGGGCUGGGGUGAAGAGAGCUGAGGGGCGCUUUGCCUUCCCUCACCGGUGCGUUUUACCUCUCGAGGCACCGUAAGUUUGAAGUCCUCCAAGUUGUGGUCGGCGCCAUCAUGACGCCGGCGACUGUGUUCAAUAGCUCACUGUGAUUGUUGAGAAGUCAACACAGGGACAAGGAAAUCUCAGAUGGUUGUCUACAGUUACAAGGGGGAUUUUUGGACUGAUUUGUGAUUUUUCUGGGAAUGCAACUCAAGUUAGAAGAGGCCAUUAUCUGAAAGAAGAAGAAGCACCAGCUGAUGUGUUGGUUAUUUUAGGGCGACAUUUGCAGUUGCUUGGGCAAUAUCAUGAGCCUCACCUCAUGCAGGUCUGGGUCCCAGACCCAAAGACUGCUCCUCCAUACUCAGAGAUACCAGCACUAACAGAGCAGCUCCUCUUCUUCAGUACAGAUGCUUCUCAACUUACAAUGAGGUUAUACCCUUAUAAACACAUGGCUGUAGGUAUACCACAAAGUGAUGGCAUCCACGGCCGUAUGGAUUGGCUGCUGAGAAGACACCACUGCAGUGGGGGAGGCACAACCUGGGCUGUGCACUCUGCGGAGCCCACAGGAGCUGGAAACAGAAACACUACUUGCUGCUGCUAGGUCAGAAACAGAAAACUGGAAAUAUCUCAGAUACAGCUUGGCUGAAGCAAUAGAGAAAAAAAUUCCUAUGAAGUAGAGAGAGAGAAAAGAGAGGUGUUUUGUCAGUUGGUAAUGUAUAUAUGGUGUUUUGUUGUGUCAUUUUCUAAGUUUCUGAAUUCUGAGAACUUAGAAACUUAUUUACAAUAACCUGUUUUUCAUCUUCAAGUGGAUUUGUAAAAAUGAUGUAACAAAAAAAAGUCCAGUUUGUUAUAUUCCUCAAUCAUCACCAAUAUUUUAUGCUCCCAAAGAAAAUGGGAAAAUGUCUUUUUCCAUUACUAGAUGUAUAUCCAGUGCCCACCAUGACUAGGGAAAAAGAGAACUGGUUAUAUAUGUAUAUGUAUUUGGUGAAUUGAAACAAAUUAUUCUGAUGUGUGAAAAUAUCAUUUUUUGUCUAAAUAUAAAAUAUUCCUAUAAUGGCAAAAUUCCUGGGACAAAUUUAGUCAUUUUCCUGUACAUAGAUAUUAAUAGAAAUUAUAUAUUUAUAAAAACAGAUAAAUUCCUCGGUAAGUUUAAUUCAACUUUAUAAUAUUAGAUGUUAAAUUAUAGAACACAUGAAAAAGCUUUUUCUAUGAAAUUAGAUAAUGUUAAGAUGACUUGGGAAUAUUGUCAUUUCAGAGUUUCUUUAUACUUGAUAGAUUUCCUCAAAUACGAAAGUAAUAUUUCUUUGCCACAAGUUACCCUUUCCCUUCAGAAAAAAAUAGAAAACAAAUAUGUAUCUACUUAUUUCAUAUACAUAUAUACUUAUGUGCUACAAAAAUGUCACUUACAUGUACAUACAUCUCUAUGUUUUAGGACUUUCUCAGUUCACCUAAGGAUGGGGUCCUUGUCACAUGGCCAUGAAAGAUUAGUCUCACAGACACUUUGAAGGGUGAGAAAAAUGGAAUUUAUUGGGGGAAAAGGAAAAAAAAGGGAAACAGGAACUCUCAGCAAAGCAAGAGUCCUGCUAGUUGGUUUUCCCACCUCAUAGCUUGAAUCCCAGAUACUACACUGGAUCAGGAGAGGCCAGGCUCUCCCUCCCCAACCCUCCCCCGACAAAGGGUGCAAACUUUCAUGGCUCCACCCCAUUCUCCAAGUACACAGGCUGGUUGGACAUUCUCCAGUGACCCCCUUAUACUUGGCUGUCUCAUCUACAUGUAAACUUUAUAAUUAAACCUCUAUAAUUUACUCGAGAUUAUAAUGUUUUCACCUCUGCACUGUGAGUACUAUAAGACUAGAGAUUACUACACUAAUUAUUCUUGUUCUUAAAUAGUAAGAUAAUUACUGAAGCAAUAUUCUAUUCAAAAUGAAAAUUGGAUCCACCCCCAGCACACUUAAAUUAGGUGUCUUUUUCUUUCAUUUUGCAAAAUGUUCUCCUUUUAUGCUUUUCAAAUGCAUAUAAUAAAAUUAGAAAUAGAAGCUCCAUUAACAGGAGAGUCCAUGCUAGGUAAGAAUGUCAUCAAUGUGGUUAUUCUGCCUAUGCUCCAAUUCUAAAUGUAUUCCUGUACAAACGGUAGUUCUAUUAGAUACUGAUUCUGCUGGUUUCACCUGGCCAAACAGACACAAAUUAGCGGAGGACAAUAAAAAUAGCAUCAGUUAAGUUGAAAGUCAUUAACACUUAUUCAAAAUAUUGGAUGAAAUUAAACCACAAAGGCAAUUAAUGUUUUGGUGAAAAAAAUGUUUUUUUAAAAAUUUAAGAGAUUAUUUUUCUGUACUAGGGGACAAUUCAAACAAUCCCAGGCUGAAAUGAAUACUACCUACUUAGGGCCCCAUUGUAUGCUGAAUACAUUUCAAUAAAACACCUUUAACAUUUUAUUUCAACUCAUUUUGCUUAUGUCUCCAUCUGUCCUUGAGGAUAGCAUUACAUAUUACUUUUUUGGUAUCACUAGUUUCAGAAAAAUCGUGGCACACAGAACCCAUUCAACAAGUUUGUUGCAUUAAUAAAUUAAUCUGUGUUUUAAAUGUAAGUUACUUGUUUCUGUCCCACACAAGUUAGCACAUGAUUAUAUGAGGCUUUUUAAUUAAUCAACAUAAUCAAUAUUGUCAUCCAAAAAGAUGAAUCCCAAAAUCUCAGUGGGGAUUCUCAGUGAAGAAUCCUACACUCAUGCACACACAUAUGUAUUAUAUGCUUAAGCUACCGUCUCAUUGUAUUGAACACCCCUCUGCCACGUCUUUCAGUAAAGCCAUUUAAGGUAUUUGGUCCCAAGGGAAGAGAGAGACAAAGAAGAGCCACAGGGGCUCCUAAACUGCCUUUAAUUACUUCAGUUCAUGUUUCAUUGGGAAGUACCAAUCAUAGAAUGUCAAUCUCACUGCAAGGGAGGUUAGGAAUUAUAGAGCACUGAAGUAAUAUUCAGUGACCACACAUUUUCUCUGGCACAGUCUUUUUCUAUAAUGGUUUCAGAAAUGUCUUUGCAGAGAGAUUACAAGCAUCAAGGGCAAAAUACAGCACCUCAUUUUAUAUAUUUCUUAGUAUAAGAGAAUAGUAAGAGAUAUGUGGUAGGUACUCAACUUGCUGAUAUUUUGAAAUUUAUUUUUUGGAAAGUGUUAUUCAUUUUCCAAACUGUAGUGGUCACUAGAUAAAUAUCUACUUGUGUUUAUCUUUCCUGAAAAAAAUAAGCUGGGAUAUUAGAAGUUUCAAAAUGGUUGAUAUUAUAACAACUAUGGUGUUUCUUGAGGAGAAGGGAGGGGUUGUUAAGAUGUGGUUAAGAUGUGUGCACAUAAUCAUCUGAAGUGAUUUUCCAAAUGUAAGUGCUAGGGUUCUGAAAGUAAUUCGUUUGAGGUGUGCCACAGGAGAAUCUUUUCCUGAAGAAAAGUUCUAACUAUUGCUCAAACAACUUUUGUCUAAGAAUAACUAGUAAGCCUAGUACAUUUUGCAGAAUUAAACUGCUUCAUAGUUUGGGAAUUGCAUUGACAGAACUACCAAGCUUUUGGAACACAGAAAAUCAUGGAAAGAAAUACAACUCUCAUCAACUUAUUUAUGUGAAAGGCUAUUUUUGAUAUAUUUUUUAUGCUUCAGGUGAAUUAUAAUUUUGCUGUCUCUAUUUGGAUAUUUAACAAUGAAACAACUGUAUUACUGUGUUCACUCUUUCAGGACAUUUCUGAGAAGCAACAUUGAUUUAUUUUCCACAUAAUGUUUAGGAUUAUGUGCCAGAGAAUAUGAGCUGAGUUCAUUCCUGGACAUAGAACUUUAACAUGUAUGCCAGACUCUCUUUUGGUUAGUUAUGAACAUAUUAAGUUGCAAUGAAUGUGAUGAAGGAAAUAAUGAAUGCCACCUUUAGAUCUUGCUCACAAACCAACCAACCAGCAAACACACCCAGGCUUCUUGAGUCAUGGAUUUGGAGAGAUUCUCACCAAAAAUGCUUGCAUUGUUCUCGUAUGUGAAUAAGAAGGUAACUUUUAUGGUCUCAUGUCCUUAAGACUUUGAAUUAUUUUGCUAUCAUUAAUAUUAGUUAUUAUCUUAACUAAUUUAUUAUUUUUAUAUUAUUUAGGUGAUUAUUAAUAA
This 4182-nucleotide long non-coding RNA is filed under the name Homo sapiens (human). RNAcentral describes it as "long intergenic non-protein coding RNA 2796". Lineage: Eukaryota; Metazoa; Chordata; Mammalia; Primates; Hominidae. The record is from RNAcentral.